Molecule: non-coding RNA, 207 nt
Organism: Paramuricea clavata
Lineage: Eukaryota; Metazoa; Cnidaria; Anthozoa; Malacalcyonacea; Plexauridae
Source: the annotation of a GenBank genome assembly
GUUCAUCAAUGAGCGAGGGCGUCGGUCACCAACCGUGGGUGGUCCAUUGAACUAUAAAUAACUGGAAGGCUCAGUCAGGGGGGGUGAGUUGAAGCCGUGCUUGAACCUUUUUUUGUAGGUAGACCCAGUCCUUUUUAAUUUUUUUUUUAAAUAUGCACAUUUUUUGAUCAGAAAAAUCUUGCCCCAAAAUAUUAGUUAUACUACCAA